UCGGGAAUUUAGGGCAAUGGGCGAAAGCCUGACCCAGCAACGCCGCGUGAAGGAUGAAAUCCUUCGGGAUGUAAACUUCGCAAGAAUGGGAAGAAUGAACGAGCGCUAAUACCGUUCGUGAUGACGGUACCAUUUGUAAGCUCCGGCUAACUCCGUGCCAGCAGCCGCGGUAAUACGGGGGGAGCAAGCGUUGUUCGGAUUUACUGGGCGUAAAGGGCGCGUAGGCGGCCAGCGCAAGUCAGUUGUGGAAUCUCCGGGCUUAACUCGGAACGGUCAACUGAUACUGCGCGGCUAGAGUGCGGAAGGGGCAACUGGAAUUCUCGGUGUAGCGGUGAAAUGCGUAGAUAUCGAGAGGAACACCUGCGGCGAAGGCGGGUUGCUGGGCCGACACUGACGCUGAUGCGCGAAAGCCAGGGGAGCGAACGGGAUUAGAUACCCCGGUAGUCCUGGCCUUAAACGAUGGAUGCUUGGUGUCUGGAGUUUUAUAGUCUCCGGGUGCCGUAGCUAACGCGUUAAGCAUCCCGCCUGGGGAGUACGGUCGCAAGACUGC
RNAcentral lists this ribosomal RNA (550 nucleotides) under uncultured Acidobacteriota bacterium. Its description in RNAcentral is "bacterial SSU rRNA". It matches the Rfam family "Bacterial small subunit ribosomal RNA", at positions 355 to 897 of the family's 1533-position model. The record is from RNAcentral. Lineage: Bacteria; Pseudomonadati; Acidobacteriota.